AUGCUGGCCGAGACCAUGGACGCGUUCAUGGCCGCUUUGGUCUCAGUGUGUCCUCCGGCCCAGCACCACUGCGAAUGCCAGCGCAGCUAUGCCAUCAAGGAUCUCCGCCUCUGCUUCUACCCGUCGGCCCCUCACCUGAACUCCGUUGGCCGUGCCGUUGAGGACGUCCUCAGCUGCGGCAGGACCGAAUCCCUCGAACUUCUGAUAUCCCUGCUGCCCGGGGAAUACACGCCCUCGCAGCUCACCGAGUUCGGGCAGGAAUUGAUGUCAUUCUCCCGUGCCUACCAGGUCGCGUUCCGGUGGCUCACAAGGCUAUCCCUCAAGGGUCUUGCCUUCGGGGACUCUGACGUCAACGACCUCAUUAGAGCUUGCGAUAAGCUCAAGUGCCUCACUCGGAGAUCCUGCAGACUAGUUCAUCGCCACUCCGUGCUCAAGAUUGACACACCGUUUUCUGGGCUCCAGGAGCUCGAGUUCAUCCACUUUGUAUGCAGGAGGAUCGAGCUCAUCUCUGUCCCCAAGCUCAGUAAAGUGGACAGCCACUGGUCCUUGAAGAACCCUUCGGUUCGCUUCGGCUAUGUUCCCGAGCUUUGCAACGUCAGCCUCACUCGUCAGCCCAAGGUGUGGAAGGCGCCAUUCCUGCUGAGCGAGUGCUUGUCAAGGAGUGCAACGAACCUGUCGAAAUUGCAUCUCAAUUUUUGCCACCAAAUGAUUUGGAUUCAGCCAGAACAACCGAAACAGCUCGCUGUUAUAUUCAGCAACCUAACGGAUGUGGGGCUUUUCUGUAUCUUUCCUGAGUGUGAUCUGAGCUGGACCCUGUUUAUCCUUGAAGCUGCACCUGUCCUGCAGAAGUUUCAUUUAUCUCGAGCUCGACCAGGCGCCAAAUUGUCCGAGGACAGUGCGGAGAAGACCAACGUGGUGUGGGAACCAUCCAAGGAUUUCAAGCACUUCAACUUGAAGUGGCUGGAGAUUCAAGGGUUCGGGGAGGAAGGCAAGGUGACAAAUUAUAUAAGGCUAGUCAUGGAACGAGCUGUGGGGUUGAAGAAAAUCGUGCUGCUUGGAGAACCCCCAUGCGAGGACUGCACCGACUGUGAAACAAAGUCCCGGGUGGAUGAUGAAGCAAGCAGACGUCGGGUUAAGGAGGAACUCACCCAUGAAUCCUCCUGGUCUGUGGAGAUAAUAAUGCGCUGA
This 1188-nucleotide ribosomal RNA is filed under the name Triticum aestivum (bread wheat). RNAcentral describes it as "partial small subunit ribosomal RNA". The record is from RNAcentral. Lineage: Eukaryota; Viridiplantae; Streptophyta; Magnoliopsida; Poales; Poaceae.